RNAcentral lists this ribosomal RNA (247 nucleotides) under uncultured bacterium. RNAcentral's name for it is "partial 16S ribosomal RNA". It matches the Rfam family "Bacterial small subunit ribosomal RNA", at positions 524 to 769 of the family's 1533-position model. The record is from RNAcentral.
UACGAAGGGGGCUAGCGUUGUUCGGAAUUACUGGGCGUAAAGCGCGCGUAGGCGGACCUGCAAGUCGGGGGUGAAAUCCCGAGGCUCAACCUCGGAACUGCCUUCGAUACUGGCGACCUUCGAGUCCGGGAGAGGUGAGUGGAACUCCGAGUGUAGAGGUGAAAUUCGUAGAUAUUCGGAAGAACACCAGUGGCGAAGGCGGCUCACUGGCCCGGUACUGACGCUGAGAUACGAAAGCGUGGGGAGC